GCGCCCGUAGCUCAGGGGAUAGAGCACCUGGCUUCGAACCAGGGGGUCGCGGGUUCAAAUCCUGCCGGGCGCA
RNAcentral lists this transfer RNA (73 nucleotides) under Deltaproteobacteria bacterium. Its description in RNAcentral is "tRNA-Arg". It matches the Rfam family "tRNA". From Rfam's summary of the family: Transfer RNA (tRNA) molecules are approximately 80 nucleotides in length. Their secondary structure includes four short double-helical elements and three loops (D, anti-codon, and T loops). The record is from RNAcentral. Lineage: Bacteria; Pseudomonadati; Myxococcota; Myxococcia.